UGCAAAGCACAACCAGCUACAGACAACAAGUGGCAGACAGAGCGUGAUGCCACUUAUAGGCAGGCUACCAGACACUGUUUUUGAGUCACAUCGUUGUCUGUGUUUGGGGGCGUGUUUGGUGGGAAGGUAACCUGCACGCCACAUGCAGAACAGCUAGUCAGCUACAUGAUUGCUGGAUAUAACAAACUAACUUUUCAUCACUUUCCUGGAGCACAAGCGGACAGCUGAAAGGAACAUCGCGACUGUUUUUUUUUCAGUGUUAUUUUUUCGCUAAGACGAAACUCAACAAAAAGCCAUUUGCCAACACUAAAUAUCAAACAAAAGCCAGACAUUAUAUAGUAUUAAGUUGCUGUGAGCUACAGCCUACAUUGACCACUUCUAACCAGAGGCAGAACAUAAUGUAAUCUCAGAGAUUAUUCCUUUACAGCGCUGUGCAAUGAGUGAAAAUUUCAGAACUGAACCGGGCAGACAGCACUUUUCAUCAGACUCACCCCGGGUUAAUUAACUUAGGAUUCAACAC
Long non-coding RNA from Sander lucioperca (pikeperch), 520 nucleotides. RefSeq lists it as uncharacterized. The record is from RefSeq and is a predicted model, not a curated record. Lineage: Eukaryota; Metazoa; Chordata; Actinopteri; Perciformes; Percidae. The transcript has 3 exons.